This is a non-coding RNA of Prochlorococcus marinus str. AS9601, 92 nucleotides long. The record is from Rfam. Lineage: Bacteria; Bacillati; Cyanobacteriota; Cyanophyceae; Synechococcales; Prochlorococcaceae.
UUUACAAAGGGUCUGUAAUCUGGCAAAAUAUCUAAUCGCGUAGGUCUGAACAUAUCAGACCCAUUCUUAUAAAGAAAGGAUGUCCAAGCGUG